RNAcentral lists this small RNA (119 nucleotides) under Salmonella enterica. Its description in RNAcentral is "partial RtT sRNA". It matches the Rfam family "RtT RNA". From Rfam's summary of the family: This family represents a bacterial cis-regulatory element known as RtT RNA. The exact function of RtT is unknown although it is thought that it may be involved in changing the cellular response in relation to amino acid starvation. Lineage: Bacteria; Pseudomonadati; Pseudomonadota; Gammaproteobacteria; Enterobacterales; Enterobacteriaceae. RNAcentral also lists the same sequence under 2 other names. The record is from RNAcentral.
UAUCUCUCCGUACGGGGAAGGAUGAGAAGCUUCGACUAAGGUUCGAUUCGAGCGAAAGCGAGAAAGCGUUGCCGUAGGCAACGACCCGAAGGGCGAAGCGCGCAGCGCUGAGUCAUCCU